GAGCUGUUCACCGUUUUAGAAAAGCACAUGACUGAUGGCAGCACUGCCCUGGCACCAAAGGAGCUGAUACACGGAAACACCGUGUCAGGGGCUGUGCAGCCACGCUAAUGCUACAUUUAGAUGCAAGAAUUUGACAGCUUCAUUACUGUGAUUGUCCCUGAGCACUUAUGUAAGGAAAGAGCAUGGAGCCUGCCAGCCUGCUUCUACCUGGAUCCUAUUUGCCACCUUGGAACAGAAGCUGUCUUGUCAAUGUGUGCAAUGAUUACAUUGGGCGAAGAUGGAGAAGCACAGAACAUUUAUCAACAUACACCAUAUGUUGGGCUAUAAAACAAGUCUUUUUUUUUUUUUUUUUCGAGGAAGAUUAGCCCUGAGCUAACAUCUGCCACCAAUCCUCCUCUUUUUGCUGAGGAAGACUGGCCCUGAGCUAACACCUGUGCCCAUCUUCCUCUAUGCUAUGUGGGAUGCCUACCACAGCAUGGCUUGACAAGUAGUGCAUAGGUCUGCACAUGGGAUCCGAGCCAGCUAACCCCAGGCCACCAAAGUGGGAAGUGUGCACUUAACCACUGUGCCACCGGGCCAGC
RNAcentral lists this long non-coding RNA (581 nucleotides) under Equus asinus (donkey). RNAcentral describes it as "lncRNA (ENSEASG00005029849.1)". Lineage: Eukaryota; Metazoa; Chordata; Mammalia; Perissodactyla; Equidae. The record is from RNAcentral.